RNAcentral lists this ribosomal RNA (1552 nucleotides) under Staphylococcus aureus subsp. aureus NCTC 8325. RNAcentral describes it as "16S ribosomal RNA". It matches the Rfam family "Bacterial small subunit ribosomal RNA". Lineage: Bacteria; Bacillati; Bacillota; Bacilli; Caryophanales; Staphylococcaceae. The record is from RNAcentral.
UGGAGAGUUUGAUCCUGGCUCAGGAUGAACGCUGGCGGCGUGCCUAAUACAUGCAAGUCGAGCGAACGGACGAGAAGCUUGCUUCUCUGAUGUUAGCGGCGGACGGGUGAGUAACACGUGGAUAACCUACCUAUAAGACUGGGAUAACUUCGGGAAACCGGAGCUAAUACCGGAUAAUAUUUUGAACCGCAUGGUUCAAAAGUGAAAGACGGUCUUGCUGUCACUUAUAGAUGGAUCCGCGCUGCAUUAGCUAGUUGGUAAGGUAACGGCUUACCAAGGCAACGAUGCAUAGCCGACCUGAGAGGGUGAUCGGCCACACUGGAACUGAGACACGGUCCAGACUCCUACGGGAGGCAGCAGUAGGGAAUCUUCCGCAAUGGGCGAAAGCCUGACGGAGCAACGCCGCGUGAGUGAUGAAGGUCUUCGGAUCGUAAAACUCUGUUAUUAGGGAAGAACAUAUGUGUAAGUAACUGUGCACAUCUUGACGGUACCUAAUCAGAAAGCCACGGCUAACUACGUGCCAGCAGCCGCGGUAAUACGUAGGUGGCAAGCGUUAUCCGGAAUUAUUGGGCGUAAAGCGCGCGUAGGCGGUUUUUUAAGUCUGAUGUGAAAGCCCACGGCUCAACCGUGGAGGGUCAUUGGAAACUGGAAAACUUGAGUGCAGAAGAGGAAAGUGGAAUUCCAUGUGUAGCGGUGAAAUGCGCAGAGAUAUGGAGGAACACCAGUGGCGAAGGCGACUUUCUGGUCUGUAACUGACGCUGAUGUGCGAAAGCGUGGGGAUCAAACAGGAUUAGAUACCCUGGUAGUCCACGCCGUAAACGAUGAGUGCUAAGUGUUAGGGGGUUUCCGCCCCUUAGUGCUGCAGCUAACGCAUUAAGCACUCCGCCUGGGGAGUACGACCGCAAGGUUGAAACUCAAAGGAAUUGACGGGGACCCGCACAAGCGGUGGAGCAUGUGGUUUAAUUCGAAGCAACGCGAAGAACCUUACCAAAUCUUGACAUCCUUUGACAACUCUAGAGAUAGAGCCUUCCCCUUCGGGGGACAAAGUGACAGGUGGUGCAUGGUUGUCGUCAGCUCGUGUCGUGAGAUGUUGGGUUAAGUCCCGCAACGAGCGCAACCCUUAAGCUUAGUUGCCAUCAUUAAGUUGGGCACUCUAAGUUGACUGCCGGUGACAAACCGGAGGAAGGUGGGGAUGACGUCAAAUCCCAUCAUGCCCCUUAUGAUUUGGGCUACACACGUGCUACAAUGGACAAUACAAAGGGCAGCGAAACCGCGAGGUCAAGCAAAUCCCAUAAAGUUGUUCUCAGUUCGGAUUGUAGUCUGCAACUCGACUACAUGAAGCUGGAAUCGCUAGUAAUCGUAGAUCAGCAUGCUACGGUGAAUACGUUCCCGGGUCUUGUACACACCGCCCGUCACACCACGAGAGUUUGUAACACCCGAAGCCGGUGGAGUAACCUUUUAGGAGCUAGCCGUCGAAGGUGGGACAAAUGAUUGGGGUGAAGUCGUAACAAGGUAGCCGUAUCGGAAGGUGCGGCUGGAUCACCUCCUUUCU